GGCCGUAUCGUAUAGUGGUCGAUUACACUCGCCUGUCACGCGAGAGACAGGGGUUCAAUUCCCCUUACAGCCGCCA
This 76-nucleotide transfer RNA is filed under the name Pseudomonas phage ventosus. RNAcentral's name for it is "tRNA-Asp". It matches the Rfam family "tRNA". Rfam says of the family: Transfer RNA (tRNA) molecules are approximately 80 nucleotides in length. Their secondary structure includes four short double-helical elements and three loops (D, anti-codon, and T loops). RNAcentral also lists the same sequence under 1 other name. The record is from RNAcentral. Lineage: Duplodnaviria; Heunggongvirae; Uroviricota; Caudoviricetes; Vandenendeviridae.